ACUGCUCCAGCAUCAUCAUCUACCACACCACCCUUUGCUCCAUUGAACUUCGGCCACACUGGCUGUUUUAACGAUCUACUGCGGCAAGACAAACCAUCCUGAAACCUAGUGGCUUGAAACAGCAACUGUGGAUUAUUCCUCAUGAUUCUGUGAAUUGGUGGAGCUCAGCUGGGAGGUUCAUCUCUGUUCUACUCUGAUGUUGGUGGAGGUGACUCGUGGCCUCAUUUGGCUCGGACUUUUGCAGGAACUGGAGCAACCUCUCUCACAUGGAGGACACCUGGACAUCUCUUUCUCUCCACCUUGUCGCUGGAUCCCUUUACAUGCUGGCUCAGGAAUCCAGAGUGAGAAUUAAGAGUGCCUACCUCAUCCUCAUGGGGGAGUUGUAAA
RNAcentral lists this long non-coding RNA (387 nucleotides) under Pan troglodytes (chimpanzee). Its description in RNAcentral is "long non-coding RNA NONPTRT011975". The record is from RNAcentral. Lineage: Eukaryota; Metazoa; Chordata; Mammalia; Primates; Hominidae.